RNAcentral lists this ribosomal RNA (459 nucleotides) under uncultured Treponema sp. RNAcentral's name for it is "partial 16S ribosomal RNA". It matches the Rfam family "Bacterial small subunit ribosomal RNA", at positions 341 to 792 of the family's 1533-position model. Lineage: Bacteria; Pseudomonadati; Spirochaetota; Spirochaetia; Treponematales; Treponemataceae. The record is from RNAcentral.
ACGGAAGGCAGCAGCUAAGAAUAUUCCGCAAUGGACGAAAGUCUGACGGAGCGACGCCGCGUGGAUGGUGAAGGUCGGAAGAUUGUAAAAUCCUUUUGAGUGUGAAGAAUAAGUGCAUCAGGGAAUGGGUGCAUGGUGACAGUAGCACUUGAAUAAGCAACGGCUAAUUACGUGCCAGCAGCCGCGGUAACACGUAAGUUGCGAGCGUUGUUCGGAAUUAUUGGGCGUAAAGGGCAUGUAGGCGGUUCUGCAAGCUUGGUGUGAAAUCCCGGAGCUUAACUCCGGAACUGCAUUGAGAACUGCAGGACUAGAAUUACUGAAGGGCAACUGGAAUUCCAAGUGUAGGGGUGAAAUCUGUAGAUAUCUGGAAGAACACCAAUGGCGAAGGCAGGCUGCUGGCAGAUGAUUGACGCUGAGGUACGAAAGUGCGGGGAGCAAACAGGACUAGAUACCCUGGUA